UGCGUAGGCGGCUGAUUAAGUCGGAUGUGAAAUCCCUGAGCUUAACUUAGGAAUUGCAUUCGAUACUGGUCAGCUAGAGUAUGGGAGAGGAUGGUAGAAUUCCAGGUGUAGCGGUGAAAUGCGUAGAGAUCUGGAGGAAUACCGAUGGCGAAGGCAGCCAUCUGGCCUAAUACUGACGCUGAGGUACGAAAGCAUGGGGAGCAAACA
RNAcentral lists this ribosomal RNA (207 nucleotides) under uncultured bacterium. RNAcentral describes it as "partial 16S ribosomal RNA". It matches the Rfam family "Bacterial small subunit ribosomal RNA", at positions 568 to 774 of the family's 1533-position model. The record is from RNAcentral.